This 497-nucleotide ribosomal RNA is filed under the name uncultured bacterium. Its description in RNAcentral is "partial 16S ribosomal RNA". It matches the Rfam family "Bacterial small subunit ribosomal RNA", at positions 28 to 507 of the family's 1533-position model. The record is from RNAcentral.
GACGAACGCUGGCGGCGUGCCUAAUACAUGCAAGUUGAGCGCUGAAGGUUGGUACUUGUACCAACUGGAUGAGCAGCGAACGGGUGAGUAACGCGUGGGGAAUCCGCCUUUGAGCGGGGGACAACAUUUGGAAACGAAGGCUAAUACGGCAUAAAAACUUAAAACACAAGUUUUAAGUUUGAAAGAUGAAAUUGCAUCACUAAAAGAUGAUCCCGCGUUGUAUUAGCUAGUUGGUGAGGUAAAGGCUCACCAAGGCGAUGAUACAUAGCCGACCUGAGAGGGUGAUCGGCCACAUUGGGACUGAGACACGGCCCAAACUCCUACGGGAGGCAGCAGUAGGGAAUCUUCGGCAAUGGACGAAAGUCUGACCGAGCAACGCCGCGUGAGUGAAGAAGGUUUUCGGAUCGUAAAACUCUGUUGGUAGAGAAGAACGUUGGUGAGAGUGGAAAGCUCAUCAAGUGACGGUAACUACCCAGAAAGGGACGGCUAACUACGUG